UCCGUAGGUGAACCUGCGGAAGGAUCAUUAACGAAAUUAUUAUAUCUCGUUUUGUGAAUUUGUUAUUCUCUUCGGAGGAAAACGAAACAUUGCUUUGGUGGACUUCGGUUCACCAAAAAACAAACUUUAUAACCAUUUUAUCUAAAAACUAAAAGUAUUGAAAAUAAAUCAAAACUUUCAGCAACGGAUCUCUUGGUUCUCGCAUCGAUGAAGAACGCAGCGAAAUGCGAUACGUAAUGUGAAUUGCAGAAUUUUGUGAAUCAUCGAAUCUUUGAACGCACAUUGCGCCUUUUGGUAUUCCAGAAGGCAUGCCUGUUUGAGCGUCAUUUCUCUCUCACUAACGUGGUUUUGUUGUAAUUUGCCUUUUUGGUAAUGCAAUGAAAGGAAAUGGCAGUGCUCAUGAGUAGCUCAAGUGUUUUUAGGUUGUACCAACUAACACAUAAACUAUUCAAUACGAGUCGGCUUGAUAACUCUUCAACGUGACCUCAAAUCAGGUAAGACUACCCGCUGAACUUAAGCAUAUCAAUAAGCGGAG
RNAcentral lists this ribosomal RNA (535 nucleotides) under fungal sp. FSU 10087. Its description in RNAcentral is "eukaryotic LSU rRNA". The stretch from base 173 to 326 matches the Rfam family "5.8S ribosomal RNA". The record is from RNAcentral. Lineage: Eukaryota; Fungi.